UUAAGCGACUAAGCGUACACGGUGGAUGCCCUGGCAGUCAGAGGCGAUGAAGGACGUGCUAAUCUGCGAAAAGCGUCGGUAAGGUGAUAUGAACCGUUAUAACCGGCGAUGUCCGAAUGGGGAAACCCAGUGNNNNNNNNNNNNNNNNCACUAUCGUUAACUGAAUACAUAGGUUAACGAGGCGAACCGGGGGAACUGAAACAUCUAAGUACCCCGAGGAAAAGAAAUCAACCGAGAUUCCCCCAGUAGCGGCGAGCGAACGGGGAGCAGCCCAGAGUCUGAAUCAGCUUGUGUGUUAGUGGAACGGUCUGGAAAGUCCGACGGUACAGGGUGAUAGUCCCGUACACCAAAAUGCACAGGCUGUGAACUCGAAGAGUAGGGCGGGACACGUGGUAUCCUGUCUGAAUAUGGGGGGACCAUCCUCCAAGGCUAAAUACUCCUGACUGACCGAUAGUGAACCAGUACCGUGAGGGAAAGGCGAAAAGAACCCCGGCGAGGGGAGUGAAAAAGAACCUGAAACCGUGUACGUACAAGCAGUGGGAGCACCUUCGGGUGUGACUGCGUACCUUUUGUAUAAUGGGUCAGCGACUUAUAUUCUGUAGCAAGGUUAACCGUAUAGGGGAGCCGCAGGGAAACCGAGUCUUAACUGGGCGUUAAGUUGCAGGGUAUAGACCCGAAACCCGGUGAUCUAGCCAUGGGCAGGUUGAAGGUUGGGUAACACUAACUGGAGGACCGAACCGACUAAUGUUGAAAAAUUAGCGGAUGACUUGUGGCUGGGGGUGAAAGGCCAAUCAAACCGGGAGAUAGCUGGUUCUCCCCGAAAGCUAUUUAGGUAGCGCCUCGUGAAUUCAUCUUCGGGGGUAGAGCACUGUUUCGGCUAGGGGGUCAUCCCGACUUACCAACCCGAUGCAAACUACGAAUACCGAAGAAUGUUAUCACGGGAGACACACGGCGGGUGCUAACGUCCGUCGUGAAGAGGGAAACAACCCAGACCGCCAGCUAAGGUCCCAAAGUCAUGGUUAAGUGGGAAACGAUGUGGGAAGGCACAGACAGCCAGGAUGUUGGCUUAGAAGCAGCCAUCAUUUAAAGAAAGCGUAAUAGCUCACUGGUCGAGUCGGCCUGCGCGGAAGAUGUAACGGGGCUAAACCAUGCACCGAAGCUGCGGCAGCGACACUAUGUGUUGUUGGGUAGGGGAGCGUUCUGUAAGCCUGCGAAGGUGUGCUGUGAGGCAUGCUGGAGGUAUCAGAAGUGCGAAUGCUGACAUAAGUAACGAUAAAGCGGGUGAAAAGCCCGCUCGCCGGAAGACCAAGGGUUCCUGUCCAACGUUAAUCGGGGCAGGGUGAGUCGACCCCUAAGGCGAGGCCGAAAGGCGUAGUCGAUGGGAAACAGGUUAAUAUUCCUGUACUUGGUGUUACUGCGAAGGGGGGACGGAGAAGGCUAUGUUAGCCGGGCGACGGUUGUCCCGGUUUAAGCAUGUAGGCUGGUUGUCCAGGCAAAUCCGGAUAAUCAAGGCUGAGGUGUGAUGACGAGGCACUACGGUGCUGAAGUAACAAAUGCCCUGCUUCCAGGAAAAGCCUCUAAGCAUCAGGUAACAUCAAAUCGUACCCCAAACCGACACAGGUGGUCAGGUAGAGAAUACCAAGGCGCUUGAGAGAACUCGGGUGAAGGAACUAGGCAAAAUGGUGCCGUAACUUCGGGAGAAGGCACGCUGGUGUGUAGGUGAAGCCCCUGCGGGUGGAGCUGAGACCAGUCGAAGAUACCAGCUGGCUGCAACUGUUUAUUAAAAACACAGCACUGUGCAAACACGAAAGUGGACGUAUACGGUGUGACGCCUGCCCGGUGCCGGAAGGUUAAUUGAUGGGGUUAUCCGUAAGGAGAAGCUCUUGAUCGAAGCCCCGGUAAACGGCGGCCGUAACUAUAACGGUCCUAAGGUAGCGAAAUUCCUUGUCGGGUAAGUUCCGACCUGCACGAAUGGCGUAAUGAUGGCCAGGCUGUCUCCACCCGAGACUCAGUGAAAUUGAACUCGCUGUGAAGAUGCAGUGUACCCGCGGCAAGACGGAAAGACCCCGUGAACCUUUACUAUAGCUUGACACUGAACAUUGAGCCUUGAUGUGUAGGAUAGGUGGGAGGCUUUGAAGCGUGGACGCCAGUCUGCGUGGAGCCAACCUUGAAAUACCACCCUUUAAUGUUUGAUGUUCUAACGUUGGCCCCUUACCGGGGUUGCGGACAGUGUCUGGUGGGUAGUUUGACUGGGGCGGUCUCCUCCCAAAGCGUAACGGAGGAGCACGAAGGUUAGCUAAUCCUGGUCGGACAUCAGGAGGUUAGUGCAAUGGCAUAAGCUAGCUUGACUGCGAGCGUGACGGCGCGAGCAGGUGCGAAAGCAGGUCAUAGUGAUCCGGUGGUUCUGAAUGGAAGGGCCAUCGCUCAACGGAUAAAAGGUACUCCGGGGAUAACAGGCUGAUACCGCCCAAGAGUUCAUAUCGACGGCGGUGUUUGGCACCUCGAUGUCGGCUCAUCACAUCCUGGGGCUGAAGUAGGUCCCAAGGGUAUGGCUGUUCGCCAUUUAAAGUGGUACGCGAGCUGGGUUUAGAACGUCGUGAGACAGUUCGGUCCCUAUCUGCCGUGGGCGCUGGAGAAUUGAGGGGGGCUGCUCCUAGUACGAGAGGACCGGAGUGGACGCAUCACUGGUGUUCGGGUUGUCAUGCCAAUGGCACUGCCCGGUAGCUAAAUGCGGAAGAGAUAAGUGCUGAAAGCAUCUAAGCACGAAACUUGCCCCGAGAUGAGUUCUCCCUGAGACUUUAAGUCUCCUGAAGGAACGUUAAAGACGAUGACGUUGAUAGGCCGGGUGUGUAAGCGCAGCGAUGCGUUGAGCUAACCGGUACUAAUGAACCGUGAGGCUUAACCUU
RNAcentral lists this ribosomal RNA (2906 nucleotides) under Klebsiella pneumoniae. Its description in RNAcentral is "bacterial LSU rRNA". It matches the Rfam family "Bacterial large subunit ribosomal RNA". Lineage: Bacteria; Pseudomonadati; Pseudomonadota; Gammaproteobacteria; Enterobacterales; Enterobacteriaceae. The record is from RNAcentral.